RNAcentral lists this small nucleolar RNA (244 nucleotides) under Eremothecium cymbalariae DBVPG#7215. Lineage: Eukaryota; Fungi; Ascomycota; Saccharomycetes; Saccharomycetales; Saccharomycetaceae. The record is from RNAcentral.
AACGCAAAUUCACAGCCAUUCGUAGCAUAUACAGCGUCUUCUUGAGGUUGGAUCCCUACGGGGCGUCCUUGGCCCAUGAUAAGGUCGGACAUAUGCUACCGGUUUUGAACUCAGUUUGGACUGGAGAAUAAAGUUACUGAUCUUGGGUGCAAUAACCCAUGUGUCGUUUGGCCUUUGAGUCAAACCUAAGGGUCCAUCUUCGUAUGCCCGUAUGGGGGUUGUUGCAAUGAUCAAUAAUACAUUU